CUAUUCCUACGGGGCGCAGCAGUGAGGAAUAUUGGUCAAUGGGCGGAAGCCUGAACCAGCCAAGUCGCGUGAGGGAAUAAGGCCCUACGGGUCGUAAACCUCUUUUGCCGGGGAGCAAGGGCCGGGACGAGUCCCGGUCCGGAGAGUACCCGGAGAAAAAGCAUCGGCUAACUCCGUGCCAGCAGCCGCGGUAAUACGGAGGAUGCGAGCGUUAUCCGGAUUUAUUGGGUUUAAAGGGUGCGUAGGCGGGCUUUUUAAUCAGCGGUAAAAAUUCGGGGCUCAACCCCGUCCGGCCGUUGAAACUG
Molecule: ribosomal RNA, 305 nt
Filed under: uncultured bacterium
Lineage: Bacteria
Description: bacterial SSU rRNA
Rfam family: Bacterial small subunit ribosomal RNA
Source: RNAcentral